UACCAGCACCCCGAGUGGUCGGGACGAUUAUUGGGCCUAAAGCAUCCGUAGCCGGUCCCGCAAGUCUUCCGUUAAAUCCAGCUGCUUAACAGAUGGGCUGCGGAGGAUACUACAAGGCUAGGAGGCGGGAGAGGCAAGCGGUACUCAGUGGGUAGGGGUAAAAUCCUCUGAUCCAUUGAAGACCACCAGUGGCGAAGGCGGCUUGCCAGAACGCACUCGACGGUGAGGGAUGAAAGCUGGGGGAGCAAACCGG
RNAcentral lists this ribosomal RNA (253 nucleotides) under uncultured bacterium. Its description in RNAcentral is "partial 16S ribosomal RNA". It matches the Rfam family "Archaeal small subunit ribosomal RNA", at positions 474 to 727 of the family's 1478-position model. The record is from RNAcentral.